RNAcentral lists this ribosomal RNA (390 nucleotides) under uncultured Sphingobacteriales bacterium. RNAcentral describes it as "bacterial SSU rRNA". It matches the Rfam family "Bacterial small subunit ribosomal RNA", at positions 993 to 1382 of the family's 1533-position model. The record is from RNAcentral. Lineage: Bacteria; Pseudomonadati; Bacteroidota; Sphingobacteriia; Sphingobacteriales.
GACUGUAGGUGAAAGCUUUACAUCUCUUCGGAGCAUUUUACGAGGUGCUGCAUGGUUGUCGUCAGCUCGUGCCGUGAGGUGUCGGGUUAAGUCCCAUAACGAGCGCAACCCCUUACCUUUAGUUGCCAUCAGGUAAUGCUGGGGACUCUAAAGGAACUGCCUACGCAAGUAGUGAGGAAGGCGGGGAUGACGUCAAAUCAGCACGGCCCUUACGUCCAGGGCUACACACGUGCUACAAUGGCCGAUACAGAGGGCAGCUACCUGGUGACAGGAUGCAAAUCUCCAAAGUCGGUCUCAGUUCGGAUCGGAGUCUGCAACCCGACUCCGUGAAGUUGGAUUCGCUAGUAAUCGCGCAUCAGCCAUGGCGCGGUGAAUACGUUCCCGGGCCUU